GGCCCUUUUCACCCACGAGCUGGAAUGCUUCCCUGACUAAAAGGUAUGGUGUCUAUAUUGGCAGCUAACAUGGCGAUCUUACAAUCAUCUCGGGUGUUACGGAAGAGAGCGUCAAAUUUCCGGCCGUCAUCCCACUGAUACGACAUGCUCCGGAAAAUUCGCACCAUAUCCAGAUUUGAGUAGCCCUCGCAACAAUCGUUCCCGCCUAGAACGCGAUUCAUUAGGUAUGAAUGCAUUUCUAACAUGCAACUCAUGAUGCAGUUCUUCAUCCGUUAGAUGACCGGUGUUUAUGCAAGA
Molecule: long non-coding RNA, 297 nt
Organism: Uranotaenia lowii
Lineage: Eukaryota; Metazoa; Arthropoda; Insecta; Diptera; Culicidae
Exons: 3
Source: RefSeq, a predicted model, not a curated record